GCAAUUGUAUUGUAGAGGGA
Molecule: microRNA, 20 nt
Filed under: Bombyx mori nucleopolyhedrovirus
Lineage: Naldaviricetes; Lefavirales; Baculoviridae
Description: partial bmn-miR-492
Source: RNAcentral